AUUGAACGCUGGCGGCAGGCCUAACACAUGCAAGUCGAGCGGAUGAAAGGGGCUUGCUCCUGGAUUCAGCGGCGGACGGGUGAGUAAUGCGCAGGAAUCUACCUAGUAGUGGGGGAUAACGUUUCGAAAGGAACGCUAAUACCGCAUACGUUCUGAGGAAGAAAGCAGGGGAUCGUAAGACCUUGCGCUAUUAGAUGAGCUUGCGUCCGAUUAGCUAGUUGGUGGGGUAAAGGCCUACCAAGGCGACGAUCGGUAACUGGUCUGAGAGGAUGAUCAGUCACACUGGAACUGAGACACGGUCCAGACUCCUACGGGAGGCAGCAGUGGGGAAUAUUGGACAAUGGGGGCAACCCUGAUCCAGCCAUGCCGCGUGUGUGAAGAAGGCCUCGGUUGUAAAGACACUUUAAGUACGGGGAGGAAGGGACCGUGAGUGGCGUAAUAUCCAUCGGGAGUUGACGUUACCCGUCCGACGAAUAAGACACCGGCGAAACUUACGUAGUCCACGCAGCC
Molecule: ribosomal RNA, 510 nt
Filed under: uncultured bacterium
Lineage: Bacteria
Description: bacterial SSU rRNA
Rfam family: Bacterial small subunit ribosomal RNA
Source: RNAcentral